UUGGCCUACGGGGCGCAGCAGUGAGGAAUAUUGGUCAAUGGGAGAGAUCCUGAACCAGCCAAGCCGCGUGAGGGAAGACGGCCCUAUGGGUUGUAAACCUCUUUUGUCGGAGAACAAAACCCGGGACGUGUCCCGGACUGCGUGUAUCCGAAGAAAAAGCAUCGGCUAACUCCGUGCCAGCAGCCGCGGUAAUACGGAGGAUGCGAGCGUUAUCCGGAUUUAUUGGGUGUAAAGGGAGCGUAGAGGGCCGUGCAAGUCUGAUGUGAAAACCCGGGGCUCAACCCCGGGACUGCAU
Molecule: ribosomal RNA, 295 nt
Filed under: uncultured bacterium
Lineage: Bacteria
Description: partial 16S ribosomal RNA
Rfam family: Bacterial small subunit ribosomal RNA
Source: RNAcentral